Non-coding RNA from Zonotrichia albicollis (white-throated sparrow), 669 nucleotides. Lineage: Eukaryota; Metazoa; Chordata; Aves; Passeriformes; Passerellidae. The record is from RefSeq and is a predicted model, not a curated record.
CCCAGGCUUUCUGAUGCUUUCCAAACUGAAACCCAGGGCCCAUCUCAGUCAGAUGCUGAGGAGUGUGAUGAUCCCUGGACAGAAUAUUACUGAAAACAAGACUGCAGCUGGCUAAACCUGACCAGCAGGUCUCCUCUCCAAGGUCUGUUGCUGUUCUGAGGAGUCCCACAGGAUGUGUUCAUUAUUCCCAGCAAGGCAAAAGUUUUUCAGUGAGAAGGAGCAAGACUCAUGGUUGUUUCACAUUUAAUGAGCUCAAAGUAUCUCCUACUGAGGCUCCUCCAGAAGCUGAAGUGUGGCCCUUUCAGAGGAUGUGGAGCAACUCCUUGGCUGCUGCUCCAUUGCUGGUGAUUUGUGUGGGGCUGUGCCAGCUGUAGGAGGAACCUGUGAGCAGAAUGCUCAUCCUCUGACAGGGAAUGUUCCAUUCGCGUAAGUGAGGUCACUCCCAAAGAUUCACCUCCAGGAGGCACACCCUGCUCAGCUCCCUUGGCUCUGGCCUGGGCAAUUUGGAGAGCAAAUUGUCUCUCACCACUUCACUCCUCAGCCUUGUGGCAGCAAAGGCCUGGAGCUGCCCUUGUGGACAUCAAACCCAAUUCCUUCCUCUAAACCAAACCCACAGAAGAAUCUCAGAUUUUUGGGUUCUGGCUGUUGAAGCCAAAUACUCAAACUUAU